This 284-nucleotide ribosomal RNA is filed under the name uncultured prokaryote. RNAcentral's name for it is "partial 16S ribosomal RNA". It matches the Rfam family "Bacterial small subunit ribosomal RNA", at positions 524 to 817 of the family's 1533-position model. The record is from RNAcentral.
UACGUAGGUGGCGAGCGUUGUCCGGAUUUACUGGGUGUAAAGGGCGUGUAGGCGGUUCUGCAAGUCGGGUGUGAAAUUUCCGGGCUUAACCCGGACGGGUCACCCGAAACUGCGGAACUUGAGUACUGGAGAGGAUAGUGGAAUUCCUAGUGUAGCGGUAAAAUGCGUAGAUAUUAGGAGGAACACCAGUGGCGAAGGCGGCUAUCUGGACAGUAACUGACGCUGAGGCGCGAAAGCGUGGGGAGCAAACAGGAUUAGAUACCCUGGUAGUCCCUGAGCGGGCU